GGGUUGUCAUGCCAAUGGCACUGCCCGGUAGCUAAAUGCGGAAGAGAUAAGUGCUGAAAGCAUCUAAGCACGAAACUUGCCCCGAGAUGAGUUCUCCCUGAGACUAUAAGUCUCCUGAAGGAACGUUGAAGACGACGACGUUGAUAGGCCGGGUGUGUAAGCGCAGCGAUGCGUUGAGCUAACCGGUACUAAUGAACCGUGAGGCUUAACCUUACAACNNNGAAG
Molecule: ribosomal RNA, 225 nt
Filed under: Klebsiella pneumoniae
Lineage: Bacteria; Pseudomonadati; Pseudomonadota; Gammaproteobacteria; Enterobacterales; Enterobacteriaceae
Description: partial 23S ribosomal RNA
Rfam family: Bacterial large subunit ribosomal RNA
Source: RNAcentral